This 254-nucleotide ribosomal RNA is filed under the name uncultured bacterium. RNAcentral describes it as "partial 16S ribosomal RNA". It matches the Rfam family "Bacterial small subunit ribosomal RNA", at positions 524 to 776 of the family's 1533-position model. The record is from RNAcentral.
UACGGGGGGGGGUAAGCGUUGUUCGGAAUUACUGGGCGUAAAGGGCUCGUAGGCGGCCAACUAAGUCAUACGUGAAAUCCCUCAGCUUAACUGGGGAACUGCGUGUGAUACUGGAUGGCUUGGAUUUGGGAGAGGGAUGCGGAAUUCCAGGUGUAGCGGUGAAAUGCGUAGAUAUCUGGAGGAACACCGGUGGCGAAGGCGGCUCACUGGACCGGUACUGACGCUGAGGCGCGAAAGCGUGGGGAGCAAACGGG